GAGAGAAACAUGGUUCCAGAAGGGGGAGAAAUGAUAUGGAAAAGAUGUGAACCCAAGCCACAGACUGAGUCAAGUCUGGUUAACCUUAGACACAUCCACCAGAAGCAUAAUCUCCAGCAAACCAGUGACUGAGAAAUAAAUACUUGUUUUAAGAACCCACUAAAUUUGGGGGUUGCUUGCUACACAUUAUUAUUAUGACAAUAGCUGGAUAAGGAAGCAUCAGAAAGCCCUGGCAAACUGGCGGUCAUACUCUUCUCUAAAUGAGCCAACACUCCCUAGGAGACCUCAGUAGAACUCCCUCUUCUCUGCUGGAAAGGUUUUGCCUCCCCAGGACCCAUCCCUCACCAUCCAUGCAUGACAUUCUGGCCUCAAGUAUCCACUCCUCAAAGGAAAAGAAAUUGGAGAGAUUCGCCUUGAAAAUAAGCCUUCAUAUUAGUGACUUCCUUCUUUUAAAGGACAUCGAACAAGUUUUAGAUGGGAUCUCUCUAUGUUGUCCAGGCUGGUCUCAAAUUCUUGGGCUCAAGAGAUCCUCGUGCCUCAGCCUCCCAAAGUGCUGAGAUGGUUAUACCAGGUGAGAUGUGAGUCACCAAACCCAGCCACCAAUGACUUUUAAAUUGUAGACUUCAAAAUAAUUGUUCAUCAACUUUGGUCAUUUAUAAC
This 660-nucleotide long non-coding RNA is filed under the name Homo sapiens (human). Its description in RNAcentral is "HSALNT0030570". Lineage: Eukaryota; Metazoa; Chordata; Mammalia; Primates; Hominidae. The record is from RNAcentral.